Molecule: long non-coding RNA, 246 nt
Filed under: Lathyrus oleraceus (garden pea)
Lineage: Eukaryota; Viridiplantae; Streptophyta; Magnoliopsida; Fabales; Fabaceae
Description: Pisum sativum (pea) long non-coding RNA (PSAT_LNC003546)
Source: RNAcentral
UUUUGUAAAAAGAACCAAAAAAAAAGUACACUAUCUUCCAUCUCGUUACUAAAACUAAAAACAAACAAAAAGUUUUAAAAUUUAAAAUAUAAAAAAAAAACUACUGGAAAGUGUUUAUUUAAAUAUAUUCUAACUAUUAAAUUAAUCGUCAAAAUUAUAUACAUAGAAAUUAAUUAAUUUACACUAUUUAAUAUUAUCAUUUUAAAGCGUUUUUAAUUAAAUAGUGUUAUUAUCAUAAAAUAAGUU